AUCACGGGGAGCUUGCAGGACACCACGGCAGGCUGAGAGGGGGCGCCGCCCGCCCCGACCCGACGAACCUGAUAUGGGUAAUGCCAACGAAGGGAGCAUG
Molecule: non-coding RNA, 100 nt
Filed under: uncultured Collinsella sp.
Lineage: Bacteria; Bacillati; Actinomycetota; Coriobacteriia; Coriobacteriales; Coriobacteriaceae
Source: RNAcentral